AGUUGAAUGGCAGGGCAAUUCUCCUUUGGCGGAUAAAUUAAGCAAAGUGCAACAUUUCUGCCAAAGGAGAAUUGCCCUGUUAUUCACUA
MicroRNA precursor from Corchorus capsularis, 89 nucleotides. It matches the Rfam family "mir-399 microRNA precursor family". From Rfam's summary of the family: mir-399 was identified in both Arabidopsis thaliana and Oryza sativa computationally and was later experimentally verified. mir-399 is thought to target mRNAs coding for a phosphatase transporter. The mature sequence is excised from the 3' arm of the hairpin. The record is from Rfam. NCBI's taxonomy places the organism in Eukaryota, Viridiplantae, Streptophyta, Magnoliopsida, Malvales, Malvaceae.